CCUUAGCUCAGUUGGUAGAGCGAUAGGUUCGCAAUCUAUAGGUCAGGAGUUCGAAUCUCCUAGGGUC
This 67-nucleotide transfer RNA is filed under the name bovine gut metagenome. It matches the Rfam family "tRNA", at positions 5 to 66 of the family's 71-position model. Rfam says of the family: Transfer RNA (tRNA) molecules are approximately 80 nucleotides in length. Their secondary structure includes four short double-helical elements and three loops (D, anti-codon, and T loops). Further hydrogen bonds mediate the characteristic L-shaped molecular structure. tRNAs have two regions of fundamental functional importance: the anti-codon, which is responsible for specific mRNA codon recognition, and the 3' end, to which the tRNAs corresponding amino acid is attached (by aminoacyl-tRNA synthetases). tRNAs cope with the degeneracy of the genetic code in two manners: having more than one tRNA (with a specific anti-codon) for a particular amino acid; and 'wobble' base-pairing, i.e. permitting non-standard base-pairing at the 3rd anti-codon position. The record is from RNAcentral.